GCCCACGUUGUCUAGUGGUCAAGGAUGUUUCCUUUUCACGGAAAAAAAAAGGAUUCAAAUCUUUCUAGAGGUU
This 73-nucleotide transfer RNA is filed under the name Karlodinium veneficum. RNAcentral's name for it is "tRNA-Glu". The record is from RNAcentral. Lineage: Eukaryota; Dinophyceae; Gymnodiniales; Kareniaceae.